Molecule: ribosomal RNA, 253 nt
Filed under: uncultured prokaryote
Description: partial 16S ribosomal RNA
Rfam family: Bacterial small subunit ribosomal RNA
Source: RNAcentral
ACGAAGGGGGCUAGCGUUGUUCGGAAUCACUGGGCGUAAAGCGCACGUAGGCGGACUUUCAAGUCAGGGGUGAAAUCCUGGAGCUCAACUCCAGAACUGCCUUUGAUACUGAGGAUCUUGAGUCCGGGAGAGGUGAGUGGAACUCCGAGUGUAGAGGUGAAAUUCGUAGAUAUUCGGAAGAACACCAGUGGCGAAGGCGGCUCACUGGCCCGGUACUGACGCUGAGGUGCGAAAGCGUGGGGAGCAAACAGGA